GAUGAACGCUGGCGGCGUGCCUAAUACAUGCAAGUCGAGCGAACAGAUGAGGAGCUUGCUCCUCUGACGUUAGCGGCGGACGGGUGAGUAACACGUGGAUAACCUACCUUUAAGACUGGGAUAACUUCGGGAAACCGGAGCUAAUACCGGAUAAUAUAUUGAACCGCAUGGUUCAAUAGUGAAAGACGUUUUUGCUUUCACUUAUAGAUGGAUCCGCGCCGCAUUAGCUAGUUGGUAAGGUAACGGCUUACCAAGGCAACGAUGCGUAGCCGACCUGAGAGGGUGAUCGGCCACACUGGAACUGAGACACGGUCCAGACUCCUACGGGAGGCAGCAGUAGGGAAUCUUCCGCAAUGGGCGAAAGCCUGACGGAGCAACGCCGCGUGAGUGAUGAAGGUCUUCGGAUCGUAAAACUCUGUUAUUAGGGAAGAACAAAUGUGUAAGUAACUAUGCACGUCUUGACGGUACCUAAUCAGAAAGCCACGGCUAACUACGUG
RNAcentral lists this ribosomal RNA (497 nucleotides) under uncultured bacterium. RNAcentral describes it as "partial 16S ribosomal RNA". It matches the Rfam family "Bacterial small subunit ribosomal RNA", at positions 28 to 507 of the family's 1533-position model. The record is from RNAcentral.